UUUAAACGUAGCUAUAAGUUUUCGUGUUUAAUUUUAAUCGUUUAUUUUAUUUUAUAACUAAUAAUUUUAUAUAGUAAUUAGAUGAUAAAAUAUAAAUAUUACUUUAAGUGUGACUCAUGUUUCUAUUAAAUAAUUUUUUAAAUAUAACAGACUAUUAAAGUUAGACACGAAAACUCAUAGCUGCGUUUUUA
Non-coding RNA from Oryza glumipatula, 191 nucleotides. The record is from Rfam. NCBI's taxonomy places the organism in Eukaryota, Viridiplantae, Streptophyta, Magnoliopsida, Poales, Poaceae.